ACUCCUACGGGAGGCAGCAGUGGGGAAUAUUGCACAAUGGGCGCAAGCCUGAUGCAGCCAUGCCGCGUGUAUGAAGAAGGCCUUCGGGUUGUAAAGUACUUUCAGCAGUGAGGAAGGCGGGGUACGUUAAAUAGCGUCUCGUUUGACGUUAGCUGCAGAAGAAGCACCGGCUAACUCCGUGCCAGCAGCCGCGGUAAUACGGAGGGUGCGAGCGUUAAUCGGAAUUACUGGGCGUAAAGCGCAUGCAGGUGGUUUGUUAAGUCAGAUGUGAAAGCCCGGGGCUCAACCUCGGAAUAGCAUUUGAAACUGGCAGACUAGAGUACUGUAGAGGGGGUAGAAUUUCAGGUGUAGCGGUGAAAUGCGUAGAGAUCUGAAGGAAUACCGGUGGCGAAGGCGGCCCCCUGGACAGAUACUGACACUCAGAUGCGAAAGCGUGGGGAGCAAACAGGAUUAGAUACCCUGGUAGGAUAG
RNAcentral lists this ribosomal RNA (471 nucleotides) under uncultured bacterium. RNAcentral's name for it is "bacterial SSU rRNA". It matches the Rfam family "Bacterial small subunit ribosomal RNA", at positions 335 to 798 of the family's 1533-position model. The record is from RNAcentral.